UACGUAGGGGGCAAGCGUUACCCGGAUUCACUGGGCGUAAAGCGCGUGUAGGCGGCUGGCCAAGCGUGGUGUGAAAUCUCCGGGCUCAACCCGGAAACUGCACUGCGAACUGGCCUGGCUGGAGUGCAGGAGAGGGAUGCGGAAUUCACGGUGUAGCGGUGAAAUGCGUAGAUAUCAGGAGGAACACCGGUGGCGAAGGCGGAUCUCUGGGCCGAUACUGACGCUGAGGAGCGAAAGCGUGGGGAGCGAACAGG
Molecule: ribosomal RNA, 254 nt
Filed under: uncultured bacterium
Lineage: Bacteria
Description: partial 16S ribosomal RNA
Rfam family: Bacterial small subunit ribosomal RNA
Source: RNAcentral